RNAcentral lists this ribosomal RNA (253 nucleotides) under uncultured bacterium. Its description in RNAcentral is "partial 16S ribosomal RNA". It matches the Rfam family "Bacterial small subunit ribosomal RNA", at positions 524 to 776 of the family's 1533-position model. The record is from RNAcentral.
UACAGAGGGGGCAAGCGUUAUUCGGAAUUAUUGGGCGUAAAGGGCGCGUAGGCGGCCUGGCAAGUGGAGGGUGAAAUCCCUCGGCUUAACCGAGGAACUGCCCUCCAAACUGCUUGGCUUGAGACCGGGAGAGGUGAGUGGAAUUCCCAGUGUAGCGGUGAAAUGCGUAGAUAUUGGGAGGAACACCAGUGGCGAAGGCGGCUCACUGGACCGGUACUGACGCUGAGGCGCGAAAGCGUGGGGAGCAAACGGG